CAUGAUGCACCUGAUACAGGGUUGAGGCAACCGACGGACGGACGGACACACAGACGCACACACGGACUGUAUACGACGCCGUACUUCAUUGAGUGAAAGUCCAAGAGUCAUUUAAAGACCGAGGGGUGAAGCAGAUACACAGGCAUGGAGCGGUAGCCGGGCCACAGGUUUCAAUCCUAUGGAAGCAGGUUGGAGCGAGUUGCAGACCGCCCCCUCACAACACUCUGUCCUUUCAGCACAGAACUCGGCAAUGCUCUUACUAAAGAGUGGAUCAGUCUUUCCUUGGCAACCAUCCAAACACUUAUUGGGAACAUUGGACGACAGUGCCAGAAUGUGGUCGCACUUUGUUGAUCACAAACUCCCUACUGAGAGUAUUUGUUCAAAAUGAAUAAAUGAUACACUGAAGGUUCUGUUUUUGCCAAAUACUAACACUUUGAAAUGUAAGUAAAAAUGUAUGUGAAUAGAUGAUGAGUAAUCUGUGGCGUAUGACGUCAUGCACACUAGUGUAUAAUGUACAUAUAAAUUACAUUUAGUGUAUAUCAAGGUAUAUUUUACAUUCAUAUAUGUAUUUUCCUGCAGUUCAAAAGUGUGGUUAUUUUUUGCUUCGUUUCACACGUUGAAAAUGAUUUUCAUACUCUUGAUAGUUCCUCGUACAGAAUGAUGUGUUAAUUGAGGUACAAUCUGUCAUGGAAACGGAAUGUUUUUUCUUUCAAUGAAAACAGUGACUAGCUUAUAAACAAGUGUUGGAAACACUGUUGGUCGCCA
Haliotis rubra (blacklip abalone) is the source of this 765-nucleotide long non-coding RNA. RefSeq lists it as uncharacterized. Lineage: Eukaryota; Metazoa; Mollusca; Gastropoda; Lepetellida; Haliotidae. The record is from RefSeq and is a predicted model, not a curated record. The transcript is spliced from 2 exons.